This 306-nucleotide signal recognition particle RNA is filed under the name Desulfurococcaceae archaeon. Its description in RNAcentral is "signal recognition particle sRNA". It matches the Rfam family "Archaeal signal recognition particle RNA". RNAcentral also lists the same sequence under 1 other name. The record is from RNAcentral. Lineage: Archaea; Thermoproteati; Thermoproteota; Thermoprotei; Desulfurococcales; Desulfurococcaceae.
CACGUAGGUAGGGUUGGGAGGGUCGCCUCCUCCCCGUAGCCGAAGGCGAAAUGCGGGACCAGUAACUCCGCUAAUACCUGAGCCGGAUUACGUAUCCUCCAGACCAGCGGUGAAUACCGCCCUACGGGGUCGGUGGUAGCGGGGGACCCUCUGGAAGGAGGGUCUAAACCGCUUUAGCGGGGGGAACCUGGCCAGGCCCGGAAGGGAGCAACCUAACCUCCGACACCGACGUUCGUAGGUCACCGGUAGGAGGACGGUCUGGAGUUAAUUACGUAAUCCGGUAGGGUGUUAGCGGGGAGCUACGUG